CCUACGGGAGGCUGCAGUGAGGAAUAUUGGUCAAUGGGCGUAAGACUGAACCAGCCAAGUCGCGUGAGGGAUGAAGGUUCUAUGGAUCGUAAACCUCUUUUAUCAGGGAAUAAAGUCUGGGACGUGUCCCCUGUUGUAUGUACCUUAUGAAUAAGGAUCGGCUAACUCCGUGCCAGCAGCCGCGGUAAUACGGAGGAUCCGAGCGUUAUCCGGAUUUAUUGGGUUUAAAGGGUGCGUAGGCGGUAUGCCAAGUCAGCGGUAAAAUCGCGGGGCUCAACCCCGCUCCGCCGUUGAAACUGGCAGUCUUGAGUGGGCGAGAAGUAUGCGGAAUGCGUGGUGUAGCGGUGAAAUGCAUAGAUAUCGCGCAGAACUCCGAUUGCGAAGGCAGCAUACCGGCGCCCAACUGACGCUGAAGCACGAAAGCGUGGGUAUCGAACAGGAUUAGAUACCCGAGUAGUC
RNAcentral lists this ribosomal RNA (459 nucleotides) under uncultured bacterium. Its description in RNAcentral is "partial 16S ribosomal RNA". It matches the Rfam family "Bacterial small subunit ribosomal RNA", at positions 338 to 795 of the family's 1533-position model. The record is from RNAcentral.